GCUAAACUAUUUUUGCGAUGUGUUCCUAAUACGUAAUAUAAAUGUAUUGGGGACAUUUUGCAUUCAUAGUUUUGUAUC
Non-coding RNA from Pongo abelii (Sumatran orangutan), 78 nucleotides. The record is from Rfam. Lineage: Eukaryota; Metazoa; Chordata; Mammalia; Primates; Hominidae.